UCCCGUUCUUAUGAGGGCAUCGUUGAGUACUUUCAAGUGCCCGUCACGUUCCUCCUCAUCUGAACAGAUCCUGUUUAUUUGGAGGGCUUGCCCGUAGGAGAUGGCUGUGUUAAUCUGAAGCCGGAGAAGUGUAGCAUCAUGAGGUUAUCCAUGGGUUUGUGGUAGAGAGAGGUGCUGAGGUGCCCAUCCUUGAUGGAAAUGCAUGUGUCUAAGAAUGAGACAGAUGCUAAAGAGUAGUCCAUGUUGAGUGACUCCUGAUCAUGGGUCCACAGGAAGAAAAUUUCAUCAAUCUACUGGUGUAUAGUGUUAGUUGGAGGUCCUGCCUAGAGAAGAAGUCUUUUUCAAACCUAAGCAUGCAAAUGUUGGCAUUAUGGGGUGCAAAUUUGGUCCCCAUGGCUGUCCCCGUGUGUCUGGAUGAAGAACUGGUUGUCAAAGGUGAAAACCUGGUCGAGGAUAAAGAGGAUAAGUUGCAGGCUGGUGCUCGGAGAUUGGCAGUUGUUGGUUUGAAUACUAAGGCUGUUGCUAUGAUGCCAUCAUCGUGGGGAAUGCUGGUGUAGGGUGCUGAAAUGUCUAUUAUGACAAGGAAUGUUCCCAGUUUGACUGGUCCACUGGUGCUGCGUUUCUGUAAGAAACCUGUAGUGUUGUGACAGAAGCUGGGGGCCCCCUGUACAAUGGGUUUCAAGAAGCGUUCAAUAUAGUCAGAGAGGUUUUCACAUAGGUCCCACUGCCUGAUACAAUGAGACGCCCUGGUGUGUUGGCUUUGUGCACCUUCAGAAGGCAGUAGAAGUCACCUACGUGGGAUGAGGGCCCAUAGGGAACUCUGAAGUACUGGAUUAGGAAGGCAGUAGAGGUCACGUAACGAGGACUCCAUGGGAUGAGAUAUCAUUUUAAGCUUUAGUCAAAUGCAAAUAAUAUUGGACGCAUCUCUCGAUCUUUGAUCAGAAUAUACUUUUUAAUAGCUUUGGAAACAAAAGAUUUGGCAGAGUCUGACCACUACUGAAACAAUGGAGUUUUCCUCAUUCACUCUGUUGGACAUGAAUAAUGUCUUUUAUCAUGAAGUUUACUUAGUCAUCAAAACUUGUUGAAAAUAAAAGCCUGGCGCUGCAAAUCUUUGGGAGUUGUUUGGCCAGAGCUCUGGGAGCAAAAAACUUUGCUUACUCUCCUACAUUCUGUGAGAGGAAAUAUGUUUGGAUAUUAUUUCCAUUGCUAACAUACCUGCAAAAGAAGCCAUCAUUAACUCACUGUAUGUAUCAGACCACUUACUGUCAGUCUAUAACAGAAAGCCAUGAUUCAGAAAACUUUUAAAAUAAAUUUCUUCUGACGGCCUUAAGAUAGCCAACCCCCAAUGGCAGUAAAAUACUGCUCCAAACAGUGAAGAAAUAGGUGGGUUCAACAUUCACUGUGUAUAUUUCAGUACUCACAGGGUGAUCUCUCCUACCUAAAAAAUGAAGCCAACUGUUUCCUAAGAAUUAGAGGUGAGUGCUUGCAAAUAUGUGUGGUAUUGAAAUGUAUUUUUUAGUUUUUUUGUGUUGUAAAGUCAAUAAUUCACUUACAUCCAGUUACUGUUAAAUCAGAAAAUCAGAAACUGGACAAAAUGUGACGUGGAGGAUUUACGGGAGUGUCAUUCACGGGUCAUUCAAGUGGGUCUUCAAACCUCGUCAUUUCCAUCGUCUUCAUUAACUUGUGUCAACAGAAAUCCAAGGUGUAACCUUUUUUCAAUUGAAAUUCAAUUUAAGAUUUAAAUGUUGCAAAAAGCAACAGUGACCAAUUCCGUUCUCUUCCAAGUAUGAACGUAUAUGUAUAAGAGGUUUUUGAAACAUAUUGCAAGAUUAACUUGCAGAGACUGAUUAGUUCAAAACCAGUUCAUAAUUACCCGGGAUGAGCGGUAUCAUUGCUGUUAUUAAAUCCCAUGAGAAAUGUAAGGGGGAUCCCCAUAAGGACGAAUUCCGCUCUGUAGGUGGGGUCUAUCCUUAAGAGUUUUAUUUCCGCCAAUUAACACAGGAGGGACCUCUCAACAUCGCAGAACGACCUCUGACUAUGUUCAGGCUGCCAAGUAAUAUUUGGACUCAGGGAGCUGCUUGUUGCAGGGACCAGUGUUACCCAGGCAGUGUCAGAGUAUUCCCGGUGGAAUCGUUUAGAGGAGAUUUUGAUGGUGUUGCCUGUCACGGGACAUGUCUGCUCUGACACAGCUCUCGGCUCCUUCACUGUAUGCAUCAUUACAUCUUGGUCCCCCAGUUUAAGUCGCAUCGGUUUUGAUGUCUAAUCGCUGAAGAAUGUCCCAAAUCAGUGGGAGUAUUUUUUGGUGAAUUCUUCUUAUCCUGUACAUAAUCCUUUUCUUGGUGUAACUGAGUAUGAUUAAAAGUAUUGAGGAAAGUCAA
Chiloscyllium plagiosum (whitespotted bambooshark) is the source of this 2378-nucleotide non-coding RNA. The record is from RefSeq and is a predicted model, not a curated record. Lineage: Eukaryota; Metazoa; Chordata; Chondrichthyes; Orectolobiformes; Hemiscylliidae.